GACGAACGCUGGCGGCGUGCUUAACACAUGCAAGUCGAACGGAAAGGCCCUGCUUUUGUGGGGUGCUCGAGUGGCGAACGGGUGAGUAACACGUGAGUAACCUGCCCUUGACUUUGGGAUAACUUCAGGAAACUGGGGCUAAUACCGGAUAGGAGCUCCUGCUGCAUGGUGGGGGUUGGAAAGUUUCGGCGGUUGGGGAUGGACUCGCGGCUUAUCAGCUUGUUGGUGGGGUAGUGGCUUACCAAGGCUUUGACGGGUAGCCGGCCUGAGAGGGUGACCGGCCACAUUGGGACUGAGGUACGGCCCAGACUCCUACGGGAGGCGGCGGUGGGGAAUGUUGCACAGUGGGCGGAAGCCUGAUGCAGCAACGCCGCGUGCGGUGUGACGGCCUUCGGGUUGUAGUCCGCUUUCGCCUGUGACGAAGCGUGAGUGACGGUAAUGGGUAAAGAAGCACCGGCUAACUACGUG
RNAcentral lists this ribosomal RNA (468 nucleotides) under uncultured bacterium. Its description in RNAcentral is "partial 16S ribosomal RNA". It matches the Rfam family "Bacterial small subunit ribosomal RNA", at positions 28 to 507 of the family's 1533-position model. The record is from RNAcentral.